CUACGGGAUGCUGCAGUGAGGAAUAUUGCACAAUGGGGGAAACCCUGAUGCAGCAACGCCGCGUGGAGGAUGACGCAUUUCGGUGUGUAAACUCCUUUUAUAUGUCAAGAAAAUGACGGUAGCAUAUGAAUAAGCACCGGCUAACUCCGUGCCAGCAGCCGCGGUAAUACGGAGGGUGCAAGCGUUAUUCGGAAUCACUGGGCGUAAAGGAAGCGUAGGCGGGUUUGUAAGUCAGGUGUGAAAUCCUACAGCUUAACUGUAGAACUGCACUUGAAACUACUAACCUAGAGUAUGGGAGGGGGAGAUGGAAUUAGUGGUGUAGGGGUAAAAUCCGUAGAUAUCACUAGGAAUACCUAAAGCGAAGGCGAUCUCCUGGAACAUUACUGACGCUAAGGCGUGAAAGCGUGGGGAGCAAACAGGAUUAGAUACCCUUGUAGUC
RNAcentral lists this ribosomal RNA (439 nucleotides) under uncultured bacterium. Its description in RNAcentral is "partial 16S ribosomal RNA". It matches the Rfam family "Bacterial small subunit ribosomal RNA", at positions 339 to 795 of the family's 1533-position model. The record is from RNAcentral.